CUGGCGGCGUGCCUAACACAUGCAAGUCGAACGAGAAAGUGGAGCAAUCCAUGAGUAAAGUGGCGCACGGGUGAGUAACACGUGACUAACCUACCCUCGAGUGGGGAAUAACCUCGGGAAACCGGGGCUAAUACCGCAUAACAUCCACGGAUCAAAUGCGCAAGCAGCUUGGGGAGGGGGUCGCGGCUGAUUAGCUAGUUGGCGGGGUAAUGGCCCACCAAGGCAAUGAUCAGUAGCCGGCCUGAGAGGGCGCACGGCCACACUGGAACUGAAACACGGUCCAGACUCCUACGGGAGGCAGCAGUGGGGAAUUUUGCGCAAUGGGGGAAACCCUGACGCAGCAACGCCGCGUGGAGGAUGAAGCCCCUUGGGGUGUAAACUCCUUUCGACCGGGACGAUGAUGACGGUACCGGUAUAAGAAGCACCGGCUAACUCUGUGCCAGCAGCCGCGGUAAUACAGAGGGUGCAAGCGUUGUUCGGAAUUAUUGGGCGUAAAGGGUGCGUAGGCGGUGCGGUAAGUCUUCUGUGAAAUCUCCGGGCUCAACUCGGAGUCUGCAGGGGAAACUGCCGUGCUGGAGUAUGGGAAAGGUGAGUGGAA
Molecule: ribosomal RNA, 598 nt
Filed under: uncultured bacterium
Lineage: Bacteria
Description: bacterial SSU rRNA
Rfam family: Bacterial small subunit ribosomal RNA
Source: RNAcentral